Molecule: unclassified non-coding RNA, 203 nt
Filed under: uncultured Tomentella
Lineage: Eukaryota; Fungi; Basidiomycota; Agaricomycetes; Thelephorales; Thelephoraceae
Description: sequence contains ITS1
Source: RNAcentral
CUGAAUUGUAAACAAGGGUUGUUGCUGGUCCUCAAAUGGGGACAUGUGCACGCUCUGUUCACACAUCCAAUCACACCUGUGCACCCUCUGCGGUUCUGUGGUCAGGGGGGCUUUGCCUUCCUGUGCUGUGGUUCUGCUUCUUUACACACACACACUGUAACAAAGUCUUGUGGAAUGUAUGCUGCGUUUAACGCAAUACAAUA